UCCUGGGCUCCGUGUUGGGGACCAGGAUUUCUUUCCGCUUUGUUUUGGUUACUAAUGUGGCUGUGUGAUCUCAGCCCUGAGGUUUUCUUCCCUUAAACUCCAGACACCAGUUUCCUAGAUCUCCGUGCUUUAAGGCUCGCACGCUUUCGGCAUCGCCCCCAGAUGUUGAAAGAGUGCACACCGCUUAGGAGUGUUUGUAGGAAAAGCCUCUGAGCCAGUGCGUGUAGCAUCCCCGAGCCUGGAAUUCACUCUGUAGCAAAGACUGGACUUGAACCUUCUACCUCAGCCCGGAGAGUGCUGGGACGGAUUACAGGCAAGAGCCACCACCUGGACCCUGGCCAGACUCCUUUCUCUCUCUCCCUCCCUUCCGUCUCCGCCCCCCUCCAUCCUUCAUGUAACAGCCCAGUCUGCCCUGGAGCUCUUUCCAUAGACCAGGCUGUCCUCGAACUCACAGAAAUCCACCUGCCUCUGUAUCCCGAGCGCUGCAUCACCACCGCCCGGCUGAAACAAAAGAGUUCUUUUCUGAGAUGAUUUGGCUCCGGUGAAAUCGCAUGCCACCGCCUCAUUAGCAGGGCCGGUGGUGACAUGGCUCAGAGGGUUAAGUCUGUAGCCGCCCGAGUCUGAUAGCCCGAACCUGAGUUAGAACCCAGGAAACCACAUGGUGUGAAAGGUGAGAACGGGCUCCUGUAGGAUGUCUGUGACCUCCACUCUGGCACAGGCGCAGAGUGGACCACAGCGUUGGUUCUUUUGUGUCUGGAAGAAGUAAGUGGCUGUAUACGCUGUUUCUCAAGCCCUGAGUCUGGGGAUGGGGGUGGGGGUUGGUAGUUAGAAAACCAUCUUCUGCAUAGGCCAGAGAGAGGGCGAAACACUGGGCAACAUAUUCAAAAUAUAAUUCCCGGCGUCCACACAGCAGGUCACAACCAUCUGUAACUCUGGUGCCAGGGGGACCAGGGUGUCUGUCCCCCUCUCUGGUCUCAGCGGGAACCAGUCAUGCCAAGUAGUGCCGUGAUCAGACAUACAGGCAAAAUCUCUGUACACUAACUUUUUGUUGUUUUAUUUUGUUUAUGUUUUGUUUUGUUUUUUGAGACAGCGUUUCUCUGUAGCCUUGGCUUACUUGGAACUCUGCCUCUGCCUCCCGAGUGCUGGGAUUAAAGGUGUGGGCCACCACCACCCAGCAUUAAUUUUUUUUUUAAGUAGACUGUGUAAAGCCUUGAAAUGUUGUAUUCCAAAGAAAGCCAGACAAUUAGCUCUCUUACUGUGGUGUUCGGAGUGUGGCAUGGUGGCCCCACCUCAAAAGACCAAAAAAAAAAAAAAAGGAACCAAAUCAAUCCAAAAUAAAAAUCCCGUUAACCUC
Molecule: long non-coding RNA, 1354 nt
Organism: Mesocricetus auratus (golden hamster)
Lineage: Eukaryota; Metazoa; Chordata; Mammalia; Rodentia; Cricetidae
Exons: 2
Source: RefSeq, a predicted model, not a curated record